This 25-nucleotide non-coding RNA is filed under the name Cricetulus griseus (Chinese hamster). Lineage: Eukaryota; Metazoa; Chordata; Mammalia; Rodentia; Cricetidae. The record is from RNAcentral.
UCAAUUGGCCAUCUGACUCUUGAGG